Molecule: ribosomal RNA, 301 nt
Filed under: uncultured bacterium
Lineage: Bacteria
Description: partial 16S ribosomal RNA
Rfam family: Bacterial small subunit ribosomal RNA
Source: RNAcentral
CAGCAGCCACGGUAAUACGAAGGGUGCAAGCGUUAAUCGGAAUUACUGGGCGUAAAGCGUGCGUAGGCGGUUUGUUAAGUCUGCUGUGAAAUCCCCGGGCUCAACCUGGGAAUGGCAGUGGAUACUGGCUCGCUAGAGUGUGUCAGAGGAUGGUGGAAUUCCCGGUGUAGCGGUGAAAUGCGUAGAGAUCGGGAGGAACAUCAGUGGCGAAGGCGGCCAUCUGGGACAACACUGACGCUGAGGCACGAAAGCGUGGGGAGCAAACAGGAUUAGAUACCCCCGUAGUCCCUGUCUCUUAUAC